AAGCCACCAGCGCCUCGCAUGAGCACGACCCUGCCCCUCGAUCCCAUCUACACCUCCUUCCCGCCGCCACCUCCUGCCCCGCGCCGCCCGCCCCACACCGCCUCGAUCGGGACCGCGUCCCUCCCCAAACGACGGCAAUGAUGGAGGGCGCCGCCCAGCUCCUGGCCAACGGAUUCGCUGGCUCCCCGCACCUCGGGGCCAGCCCCUCCCCCGUGCCGAGUCGAGCAUCGACUUGGAGGCCCCUUGGGGCUGCCGCCGGUGCGGGAGUCCCGCGCGGCCGUGCGGGCUGGGGACCGAUUGGCGGGGCCCGUGGUGCGACGCUCGAUGGAUGGCCUGCACAGCGCGGACGACUGCUUCUCUCCCAGGAGGGCCAUAGGCAGCCACUACAUGUCGGAGCUGUUGCAGGAGCACCAGAAGCUUGUCCUGUUCACACAGGUACUACCAAUCUGCAUCAAACUGUUGGGCCACCGUGAGAGCCUCGAUUCGCUCCCUCGCCGCCGCCCGGUCUACCAUUAUUGGCCUAGGUCUGAUUGCUUAUGUUUCUCUCUUGUUGAUGCAAACUUGCUCUGCUUGACUCUGUUUUGGCCUCAAGGCAUCUCACUUGUCACAUAUUGUUAUCAACUCAGGUAUGGUAUCUGGAAAAAUUUUAUUCUACCAAGAGAACAUUUCUUACUUUGGUUUCUAGGCAAUAUGAAAGUAAUGAGUAAACAUAACCCGCUGAAACAAAAACAUGGUGAAGUAGCUGACUGUAGAUUUUGCUUGGAGAUGAUACUGUUCACUGUCCAUAUUUUGUUUGUAUGGUGGCUGUACUUUGUAACGCUAGCAUGGAUGUCUGUUAUAAAAUAUACAGUAUCUAGAUUUUUGCUGGGUAAAGAAAUUUGCAGCUCUGAAUACUUUAUAUUUCCCAGUUGUUCUUAAUUUCGGCAGUAUGCAUGGGAACGCUGGGAUGACGUGUUUCAGAGAAUUCAGUGGCUUGGUUCAACUAUACAAGGAUCAUUUCAACACAAAGGACUCUCGUGUUACAGCCUAUUGACCACUGCAGUGUGUACUCCUGGAAUUGAUAGCGAAUGAAAGCGCCAUAGACAUUGCAGGAGAGAUAAAAUUUCUAGAUGUUAUUAGGUCUCACCAAUUUGUACUGCUGUUCACUCUGUAGUCUGGGAUUAAUUAGCUGUGCUGCAAGGAUUCCAACUUUAAAAGUCAUGCUGCAAGGACAAGUCCUCUGUAUGAUUCUUCAGUACAGUUCAAAAUAAAUCACGAUGCAGAGCAGAUUCAGUCUUUUGAUUUUAGACAAUGAAGAGUUUCAUUGCUCUUAAGGUCUUUGUUUGCCUUUUUAGGGGAGGUCUUUGUUUGCUUGGAUUGAUGCGCACGGUUGACACAAUUUACAACAUUUUUUGACUGACGGCAUAGACCAUAGUUUCAGUUUUACAAUGUGUCCAGAGAGAGUAUAAUACUGAUGCACCAUUUAUUUCAGAGAAGAAAAAGGUUCCAUGAGGGUGUCUAUUACAGAACUGGAGAAAGAGCUCGCCUACCAUGCAUGUUGCCUGGUCCGAUGAGCAGUGCUACGCCAAGUGCCCUGUCAGAGUGCAGCCGCACAACGCUGCCUGCUGUUGAGGACCCCGGAGCCUAGACAGUUAGCUCGGCAACUUCCAGCCCCCCACCGUCUUUCUUGACAACCACGGCACCCAUCUUUUCGUCUAUGCCUCAUUGGAUGCACUUCCAUUUGUGCUACCAAACUUUUUCACGAAAAGUGUAGUACCAGUUGGUGUGAUAUCAUGUCCUCAGCAACGCCCCCGAUGGAUCGACCAUGACCAUGUUGUUGCCUGGAAUCUUUUUUCAUGAUGAUGUCGCUAUUCGUCAUCCCACAGUUUAUGCGGUGGAGCGUCAACGACCUCAGCGUGUUGCAGGAGAAGACCAUGAAUAUCGGCAAGAAAGAUGUAGGUUGAUCAAGGAAGGUGCAACACUGUGAUGUGAGUUGAACACAAGCAUGGCCUACAAUCUCGACGCCCACCAUCCAUGUGCCUUGCAAGCAGCAAUUGUUCACAUCCUUGAUAUUUGUCACUGCCCUCUUCUCAUCUAUCCCGACAGUCUCGGUGUCCAGGCAAGGUAUGUCUAUGUCAGUUGAACUGUCACUCGAGUUACAACAAUUCCAAUCUUUUUUCUAUAUCUGCAAUUGGGUGGACUAUGGUAUGAAUCAGUUUAUAAGCAACCAUGGUGUACAUGAAUCUCUGUUGGUGUGAACUGUCAAAAGCAUUUCCUACUAUUUCUACCUCUGUUUCAUCUUCUAAAUCUAGAGUCUAUACUUGGAUAUUAUCUAGCAACAAUCUGUUCAUGAGAAAAGCAUGGCUAAGAGUCAUACUAGAUGUAUGCAUAAUACCGGGACAAGAUAUUUACCUGCCAUUAUCCCAGAAGGGAAACAUAAUACUAAACUGCCAUAAAAAAUAUUUGAGGGCUUACAUCAUCGUUGAGGUCAAAUUUGUAUCUUUAUUAUCACCCUAAUAAAACAUGGUUUUGCUAAUUGACUUCAUCUUAUUUCAACUUUGUUAGUUCAGUUCACGUGCUCUGUUAGAGACCAACCCCAAUGUGUAUGCUACAACCACUGAAAGAAGUAUGUUGCCUUGAUGUUUUUAAUUCAGUUAAUUUGUAUUAAUUGUGUGGCAUCAUCAUGCAAGGUAAAUGCAGAGCUAUACUUUCUAUUCUCGUGCCUUCUAUUAAAAUCAUGCAGAUGCUCCGGUCAUCGUUGUUCAUAUGUUUUGACUCUUGUCGAGCCUCUUCUGUGAGGCACAUAGUUUGGGAGUAUGCCUAUGGCAAUUUAUCUAUUUCCAUGAUUGAAGAGACAUUUUUAAAUUGAACAAAACAAAUUAUAUGAGAGGCAUAUGUUUUGUUUUUGCUGUCCCAAACUACAGAGAGCCUUGCAAAUUUCCAGGACUCUGUUUCCUCUUGGAACUCUCCUAACUAUGCAUUCUUGAUCACUGUCGAACAUUGAUCGACAGACUGCUCUGUUUACAAACUCUAUUUUUUCUAGGUUUUCUUGUGAAAAUUGAUGAUACCCCAAUGCAGAGCCUUUUGUAGCCUUGUUGCUGGUGACAGAUUUCAGACGAUAACCUAAAUGUAGGCAUUAAACACAACAAGGUCAGGAUAUGAUAAUGGCCCAAGGUCGUGCCGACAAAUCUGGAAAUACUCUAGAACAAAAUAAUAAUCUGGCAAUGGCCCAAGAGAGCUGUUCUUGGAUUUUUGUACCCUCAUGCUAAUACUUAACUGUUACAAUUUUUAUUGUUCUUCUCA
This is a long non-coding RNA of Triticum aestivum (bread wheat), 3282 nucleotides long. RefSeq lists it as uncharacterized. The transcript has 5 exons. The record is from RefSeq and is a predicted model, not a curated record. Lineage: Eukaryota; Viridiplantae; Streptophyta; Magnoliopsida; Poales; Poaceae.